Molecule: ribosomal RNA, 460 nt
Filed under: uncultured bacterium
Lineage: Bacteria
Description: partial 16S ribosomal RNA
Rfam family: Bacterial small subunit ribosomal RNA
Source: RNAcentral
CCUACGGGUGGCAGCAGUGAGGAAUAUUGGUCAAUGGCCGUAAGGCUGAACCAGCCAAGUCGCGUGAAGGAAGAAGGAUCUAUGGUUUGUAAACUUCUUUUAUAAAGGAAUAAAACGAGGCACGUGUGCCUUUUUGCAUGUACUUUAUGAAUAAGGAUCGGCUAACUCCGUGCCAGCAGCCGCGGUAAUACGGAGGAUCCGAGCGUUAUCCGGAUUUAUUGGGUUUAAAGGGAGCGUAGAUGGGUGGUUAAGUCAGUUGUGAAAGUUUGCGGCUCAACCGUAAAAUUGCAAUUGAUACUGGCAGGCUUGAGUACAGUAGAGGUAGGCGGAAUUCGUGGUGUAGCGGUGAAAUGCUUAGAUAUUACGAAGAACACCGAUGGCGAAGGCAGCUUACUAAACUGUGACUGACAUUGAUGCUCGAAAGUGUGGGGAUCAAACAGGAUUAGAUACCCGAGUAGUC